GAUGAAGAACGUAGUGAAAUGCGAUAAGUAAUGUGAAUUGCAGAAUUCAGUGAAUCAUCGAAUCUUUGAACGCACAUUGCGCCCGCCAGUAUUCUGGCGGGCAUGCCUGUUCGAGCGUCAUUUCAACCAUCAAGCCCCAGGCUUGUGUUGGGGACCUGCGGCUGCCGCAGGCCCUGAAAACCAGUGGCGGGCUCGCUGUCACACCGGGCGUAGUAGAUUUUAUCUCGCUCAGGGCGUGCUGCGGGUUCCGGCCGUUAAAAAGCCUUUUUUACCCAAGGUUGACCUCGGAUCAGGUAGGAAGACCCGCUGAACUUAAGCAUAUCAAUAAGCGGAGA
Molecule: unclassified non-coding RNA, 335 nt
Filed under: soil metagenome
Description: partial contains 5.8S ribosomal RNA, internal transcribed spacer 2, and large subunit ribosomal RNA
Rfam family: 5.8S ribosomal RNA (bases 1-120)
Source: RNAcentral